RNAcentral lists this ribosomal RNA (1277 nucleotides) under Psychrobacter sp. BYHD3-2. Its description in RNAcentral is "bacterial SSU rRNA". It matches the Rfam family "Bacterial small subunit ribosomal RNA", at positions 125 to 1402 of the family's 1533-position model. The record is from RNAcentral. Lineage: Bacteria; Pseudomonadati; Pseudomonadota; Gammaproteobacteria; Moraxellales; Moraxellaceae.
UCUACCUAGUAGUGGGGGAUAGCUCGGGGAAACUCGAAUUAAUACCGCAUACGACCUACGGGUGAAAGGGGGCGCAAGCUCUUGCUAUUAGAUGAGCCUAAAUCAGAUUAGCUAGUUGGUGGGGUAAAGGCCCACCAAGGCGACGAUCUGUAACUGGUCUGAGAGGAUGAUCAGUCACACCGGAACUGAGACACGGUCCGGACUCCUACGGGAGGCAGCAGUGGGGAAUAUUGGACAAUGGGGGCAACCCUGAUCCAGCCAUGCCGCGUGUGUGAAGAAGGCCUUUUGGUUGUAAAGCACUUUAAGCAGGGAGGAGAGGCUAAUGGUUAAUACCCAUUAGAUUAGACGUUACCUGCAGAAUAAGCACCGGCUAACUCUGUGCCAGCAGCCGCGGUAAUACAGAGGGUGCGAGCGUUAAUCGGAAUUACUGGGCGUAAAGCGAGUGUAGGUGGCUCAUUAAGUCACAUGUGAAAUCCCCGGGCUUAACCUGGGAACUGCAUGUGAUACUGGUGGUGCUAGAAUAUGUGAGAGGGAAGUAGAAUUCCAGGUGUAGCGGUGAAAUGCGUAGAGAUCUGGAGGAAUACCGAUGGCGAAGGCAGCUUCCUGGCAUAAUAUUGACACUGAGAUUCGAAAGCGUGGGUAGCAAACAGGAUUAGAUACCCUGGUAGUCCACGCCGUAAACGAUGUCUACUAGCCGUUGGGGUCCUUGAGACUUUAGUGGCGCAGUUAACGCGAUAAGUAGACCGCCUGGGGAGUACGGCCGCAAGGUUAAAACUCAAAUGAAUUGACGGGGGCCCGCACAAGCGGUGGAGCAUGUGGUUUAAUUCGAUGCAACGCGAAGAACCUUACCUGGUCUUGACAUAGUGAGAAUCUCUCAGAGAUGAGAGAGUGCCUUCGGGAACUCACAUACAGGUGCUGCAUGGCUGUCGUCAGCUCGUGUCGUGAGAUGUUGGGUUAAGUCCCGCAACGAGCGCAACCCUUUUCCUUAUUUGCCAGCGGGUUAAGCCGGGAACUUUAAGGAUACUGCCAGUGACAAACUGGAGGAAGGCGGGGACGACGUCAAGUCAUCAUGGCCCUUACGACCAGGGCUACACACGUGCUACAAUGGUAGGUACAGAGGGUUGCUACACAGCGAUGUGAUGCUAAUCUCAAAAAGCCUAUCGUAGUCCGGAUUGGAGUCUGCAACUCGACUCCAUGAAGUCGGAAUCGCUAGUAAUCGCGGAUCAGAAUGCCGCGGUGAAUACGUUCCCGGGCCUUGUACACACCGCCCGUCACAC